UUGGUUUUUUAUUUGAUAUGAUUAUCAUUAGUACAACUGAGGUGGGUUGUUUUUGGGUUUAUCUCAAUCUGGGAGGGUUAUAGAUAGAAAAACUGAUUAGAUUUUCGGACUGAGCACCCAAAAAAUCUAAUAAGCGAUGGAAUCAUUUUUUUCAUAUUGAAGACCAAAUUAGGGUAUUUAUGGUAAAGGUUCCAAGGGCCAGAUUGAAAAACUAAGAUGAAUGAUUGUCAGGCUCACGAUCAGCAGCCCCAAAAACCUAACAAACAAUAUGUCACGUGAUGUUGUCAGUUAUUUUCGGCUCUGAUUAAAAUUUCCUCCCCCCACAUCAUUUUUGGAAUAGAAGGUCGAAUCAUUUUAUAUUCUUUUAAAAACUCACUAUUUCGAUCUUGAAUUAUAAUUUUAUUAAUUCCUUUCGUUUCAAAUCCAAUCAAUGCCAAAUCUAAAAUAUAUGACAGAAGUCUUUUUUUUUUUUUUAGAAUUUCUUACCUAUUAAUUUUUUUUUAAUUUCUAAAAACUUUUUUUUCUUUUUAAUUUAUGAAACUACUCAAAAAAUGGCUUUGGAAUUUUUCUUCAACUAAGUAUUUUGUAUGAACAAUAAUAAAAGAAACUUUUUAACAUUUUUACUCCGAGAUCGACCAGAUUUUUGCUCCUUUGCAAUUUUUAAUGUGAGGAAACUAAAAAAUGUUCCUAUUCAAAAAGAAGCCUCCAUAAAAAUUUGAAGUUUGUCUCAUUGAAAAAAAAAGAAAAAUGGAAAUUUUAGCCUCUUUAAAUACCCUUUAUUUCUCAAACUUUUUUCAGAUGCAAAAAAUUCCAAUUUUAACUUUAGACUCAAGAAAAAUUGAAUAGAAACGACUCAAAUGAGGAAGGAAUCUGUCAAGUGUUUUAAUUUAAAAAUUAAACUCACCUUGACCUUCGUAUUUUAAUUUUUUCCAAUGUGUGUCCAAAAUAAAAUCUUUCUAUCAACGAAAAAAAAAAUGUCCAAAUUGUUUACUAAUUAACGAAGAAAUACACAAGUUCCAUGCUAUUAUUGAUUUCCCUCACAAAAUCAUAUUUCAAGUACCUAUACAAAAAGGUAGCUACCUAUUUGAAAAGUGCACAUCUGACACCUGUAGGUGAUACAAGCUCGUUACCUUUCAACCCUUUAAAUAUGUACACGAUGACCCGAAAAUGUUACACACCUUGUAGAAGCAUUUGAGUGAUGUUGUUAGGUAUCUAGGUAUUAAUUUUCUUUGGAUUUUUAACUGAAUUCAUCUUGUAUUUAUCUAUUCAAUAACCAAUAGAAACAAUUUCAGUUUCCUUACCGAAUUCACCUCAUUUUUAAUUUAUCCCUUCAACAACUGAUUAAAAUUAAAAGUUUUGUCUGUUCAUUAUAAAGAAUUGAUUUCAACGACAUUGAUGCUCAAUAUUUAGUACUUACAAUAAUUCAACGCCUGUAUUUUCACAUUUUUCAACCUUGGUAACCCAGACUUUUGUGAAUGAACUACCUAUUCAUUCAGUUUUGAUAUUAAUUUUUGAUUUAGUACACGAAUAUGUGUAGGUACUUUAUCAUGUUCAGAGAUUACUAUGUACCGAUUUAACUAGAAAAAUUAAUAUGUAUUAUAGGAGGUAUUUGAGAUGAAAAAAUACUAAUUAAAAAGAUAACUUGAAAGAAGAUUAUUAGAUUAAUAAAUUUGAUCUAUUGAUUGAAUAUUUCUGGACAUUCAAUAUUGACAUUACCUGCUUAUGUGAGUGUAGUCAGACUUAUAUAAUACUAACAUCCUUUUAAAUCUUUGAAAGUGUGCAAAAUGAUUACAAUUGCUAUUAAACUUGUUAUUUUAUAUCUCUUUAUUUUAUCAUGUAAAGAACAGCGCGAGUUUUUUUUUACCUAAUGAAGAUAAGGUACGAGUACCUAAAUCUCUUACUGAUACCUACUGAACAGCAAGUGCAAGAGGUAUCUUUAGGAAAUGGAUGUUUUUGAAGAAUUUUCAAAUGAAAUUAUUUUAAAAUGUUGAAAAAAGAGACGAAUUUAAAGGUAACUUGAAGCAGGUAUUAAGGCAGGAUUAGAUGUAUAAAUCUACGAGUGUUUGCCAAGAAUGUUCAACAAAUAAUAUGCCAGGAAAGCAAUGAUCGAGCAGGGCUUGGUGAUGUCUCACUACCUGAAGUACUACAAGAAAACAGUAUCCGACAAAAUUUGAAAUUAAUGAAAAGUCCUAAGGAUCAAAACACUGUAAUUACACUUUAGUUAUUAGUAUCUCUUUUAACAUUACCCCGAACUGCCACACUCCUAAAUCAAAAUAAUUUCUAAUAUAAUGAAAGUGAUUUAAGAUGUUUAGUUCUUUCUAGAUUUGAUUUUUUGAAUUGUAAAUAAUUACCUUGUUAUGUUGGCAUAAUUAUCAAGUUUUUUAAAACAGUUAUUUUUGUUACUUACAUACCUACAACUUUUGAUUUUGGUAUUUGUGGGGAAUCCUCAGAAUGAAAUAAUAAGUAUAUCAUGUAACUCAAUUUAAACAACAAUUUAUUGUUAGGUACUAAAAAAAGAGCAAAAGAAAUAUUUGUGUUGCA
This is a long non-coding RNA of Planococcus citri (citrus mealybug), 2541 nucleotides long. RefSeq lists it as uncharacterized. The transcript has 2 exons. Lineage: Eukaryota; Metazoa; Arthropoda; Insecta; Hemiptera; Pseudococcidae. The record is from RefSeq and is a predicted model, not a curated record.